Molecule: ribosomal RNA, 330 nt
Filed under: uncultured bacterium
Lineage: Bacteria
Description: bacterial SSU rRNA
Rfam family: Bacterial small subunit ribosomal RNA
Source: RNAcentral
GACGAACGCUGGCGGCGUGCUUAACACAUGCAAGUCGAACGAGGACCAGGAGGUGCUUGCACCACCUGUAGCCGAGUGGCGGACGGGUGAGUAACACGUGACCAACCUGCCUCCAGGCGGGGGACAACCCGGGGAAACCUGGGCUAAUACCGCGUAACAUCUUUGCACCGCAUGGUGCGCUGAUCAAAGAAGGCCUCUGCUUGCAAGCUUUCACCUGGAGAGGGGGUCGCGACGUAUCAGCUUGUUGGUGAGGUAAUGGCUCACCAAGGCUACGACGCGUAGCGGGUCUGAGAGGACGACCCGCCACAUUGGGACUGAGAUACGGCCCAG